GGAUGGAUCAUUAACACUUAUCCAAGUACCUACUAGUAAACCUUUUUUGGUCACCCGAGUUUCCGCGACCGGAUCAUGGAACCCACAAACGGCAGAGCAAGAGCUUUCGGGUUCUUGCUGUUCCACCGGUAGAAACUCGUUUGUUUUCCGUCUCCUUCACUGGAAUCGGAACUCAAACGCAGUCUUGAGAGUCGACACUAAAAACUCUUCCGGUAGGCGCAAGCUUACUGCAGUUUCAUUCUGGCUGCUGUUUUGUAUUGUCAAACCAAUUUAACGAUUUGUAACCAUAUGUCUGAUUUAAGGGUUGGUCCGAAAGGAUUUCAACUUUAUUAUUUCGCGUAAUUUUUAUACAACUGUUAGCAACGGAUAUCUUGGUUCUCGCAACGAUGAAGAGCGCAGCGAAAUGCGAUACGUAAUGCGAAUUGCAGAAUUCAGUGAAUCAUCAAAUUCUUGAACGCAAAUUGCGCUUUCGGGAUAGCCCUGGAAGCACGCUUCUUUGAGUAUCGGUUCACCCCACCCUCGGCGGCGUCGCCAUCAAACAGCGAACGUGCAGCCGGAAAAUGAGCGUCACAGCCAGAGUGUGCACUAUGUGGCUGCGUCGCUUCAAGCACAGAGCGCUAAUUACCAAGCUCAAGUUCAGCCGUCCUUGCCAGGAUGAACAAUGGGUACACACCCCAAAUUUGCUCAUCAUACCAAACUGGCACAGGGCGGUUUGAGCCUUGGUUACAAAAAGCGCGAUUUGGAAUUAACGGGAGGGCGGUCCUAAAAAAGCCGCACUUUCCACCUCGAAAUAGAUCUCAGAUGAAGCGAGAAAACCCGCCGGACUUAAGCAUAUUAUUAAGCGGAGGAAAAGAAACUAACAAGGAUUCCCCUAGUAACGGCGAGUGAAGCGGGAAAAGCUCAACUUGAAAAUCGGUGCUCCACGCGGGGUAUCGAGUUGUAGUCUAGAGACGUGCUGUCAGCGUGUGACCCAGCUAUAAAUCUUUUGGAACAAGGUAUCAUAGAGGGUGAGAAUCCCGUCUUUGAGCUGGAGUUCGCCGCGUACGAUACACGUUCAACGAGUCGAAUAGGUCGGGAUUCCUGUUCUAAAUGGGUGGUAAAUUUCAUCUAAAGCUAAAUACAGGCGAGAGACCGAUAGCGAACAAGUACCGUGAGGGAAAGAUGAAAAGAACUUUGAAAAGAGAGUUAAAAAGUACUUGAAAUUGUUAACAGCGAAGCGCUGGAAAGCAGUCGUGCCCGAUGUCUAUAUUUAUCCUCCGUUCGUCUCGAACUGUUUCUGGGAGUGCUUACGCCUCCCCAGGAUCAGCCCGUGGUGCGCGGGAGAGUUCUGUAGCUUCGGGCGAGUCAGGAUCAGUUGGUUUCGCCGGAGAAAGCCGCGAGGAAGGUAGGAGGGAGGGGUUUCGGCUCUGAACUCUGUUAUAGCCUUGCGGUGAUACGGUGGGAUCGACUGAGGAACCUAAUGCGCGCCUUCCCCGCAAGGGGAGGGCUGGAUGCCCGGUCCCUGCCAUGCCAUCCUCUAUGGACAGCAAAGCUGUGCGAGUGGAGAAGCGCGGUACUGGGCCGGAUACAUCACAUGCGUGUUCGGGAUCCUGACGAAAUGCUUUUCAUUGACCCGUCUUGAAACACGGACCAAGGAGUCUAACAUAUAUGCGAGUAUUUGGGUGGUAAACCCUGGUGCGUAAUGAAAGUAAAGGCAGCCUCGUGCUGCUGAGGUAGGAACCCUGGCCCACCGGGCCGGGGGGCACUAUCGACCGAUCUGGCACUUGUGAAAGAUUUGAGUAAGAGCAUAUCUGUUGGGACCCGAAAGAUGGUGAUCUAUGCCUGAACAGGGCGAAGCCAGGGGAAACUCUGGUGGAGGCUCGUAGCGAUACUAACGUGCAAAUUGUUCGUCUGAUUUGGGUAUAGGGGCGAAAGACUAAUCGAACCAUCUAGUAGCUGGUUCCCUC
This 1946-nucleotide unclassified non-coding RNA is filed under the name uncultured fungus. Its description in RNAcentral is "sequence contains 18S rRNA gene, ITS1, 5.8S rRNA gene, ITS2, 28S rRNA gene". The stretch from base 793 to 1946 matches the Rfam family "Eukaryotic large subunit ribosomal RNA", at positions 1 to 961 of the family's 3401-position model. The record is from RNAcentral. Lineage: Eukaryota; Fungi.